GCACGUGGCCUUGACAUUC
RNAcentral lists this small nuclear RNA (19 nucleotides) under Arabidopsis thaliana (thale cress). RNAcentral describes it as "snRNA_07400". The record is from RNAcentral. Lineage: Eukaryota; Viridiplantae; Streptophyta; Magnoliopsida; Brassicales; Brassicaceae.